UACCAGCACCCCGAGUGGUCGGGACGAUUAUUGGGCCUAAAGCAUCCGUAGCCGGUCCUACAAGUCUUCCGUUAAAUCCACCUGCUUAACAGAUGGGCUGCGGAAGAUACUAUAGGGCUAGGAGGCGGGAGAGGCAAGCGGUACUCAGUGGGUAGGGGUAAAAUCCUCUGAUCCAUUGAAGACCGCCAGUGGCGAAGGCGGCUUGCCAGAACGCGCUCGACGGUGAGGGAUGAAAGCUGGGGGAGCAAACCGG
Molecule: ribosomal RNA, 253 nt
Filed under: uncultured bacterium
Lineage: Bacteria
Description: partial 16S ribosomal RNA
Rfam family: Archaeal small subunit ribosomal RNA
Source: RNAcentral